This 301-nucleotide ribosomal RNA is filed under the name uncultured bacterium. RNAcentral describes it as "partial 16S ribosomal RNA". It matches the Rfam family "Bacterial small subunit ribosomal RNA", at positions 509 to 807 of the family's 1533-position model. The record is from RNAcentral.
CAGCAGCCGCGGGAAAACAGAGGGUGCGAGCGUUAAUCGGAUUUACUGGGCGUAAAGCGUGCGUAGGCGGCUUCUUAAGUCGGAUGUGAAAUCCCUGAGCUUAACUUAGGAAUUGCAUUCGAUACUGGGAAGCUAGAGUAUGGGAGAGGAUGGUAGAAUUCCAGGUGUAGCGGUGAAAUGUGUAGAGAUCUGGAGGAAUACCGAUGGCGAAGGCAGCCAUCUGGCCUAAUACUGACGCUGAGGUACGAAAGCAUGGGGAGCAAACAGGAUUAGAUACCCGAGUAGUCCCUGUCUCUUAUAC